AGUCACUCAGUCUUGCCAGCUUUUACGUGCCUGUAUUUCUAGACGUGUCGCUGACCCGUGGUGACAGCCGGGUCACGGAGAUGCCACGCUAAAGGUCACAAAAACGAUCGGCGUCCAACAAGCGACUCCCGUGUUCUUAUCUAUCAGUGGGAGGGAUAAACGAAGUAAUCAGCGUUUAAAGAGACAGCGAGUGCGGGCUGCGUCCAUCAUGAAAGUUUCACGCAAGCCAGUUGUUUAAUUGAAAACUGCCAUUGGUUUCUUGAAGUCCGAUAUCUGUGGCCGCUGGUUCUCGUAAUCACCGCGUUAAACUCCAAUUGUCACUUUUAAUUGAACUCUUCUCUAAGCUAAUGACUGCUAACGUCUGUCACCCGCACUUAAGGCGGACGUCAGCUCCCCCCCGCAAGUUUGAGGGCUGAACUUAUCUGAAGAUCCAUGAGCCCGUCCAAAAAAAAAAAAAAAAUCAGAGUUCCAGAGUGGGCCAGAAGCCCCUUGCCCUUUGCUCAAAGCCUAGUUUGAACCCAGCAGCCUCAGCCGUGUAAUGUCACGCGGGCUCACAUUACACACCUCGUAUAUUUAGCAGUGCACUUCAAAUGCUAAGGGUCAACCGGCCCGUUUAAAUAUAGACGUGUCCGGCCGUCGUGCCCAGCACCUUGUGCCCGCCCCCCCUUUAAAAGAGCAGCACCCGCCCAGCUUGCCUCGUCUCCAGCACACAGCUCACUCGGGAUAUCCGCCGCUCGUCCGCCUCCUACACACUCAGCGUCAAAAUGACAU
Molecule: long non-coding RNA, 771 nt
Organism: Polypterus senegalus (gray bichir)
Lineage: Eukaryota; Metazoa; Chordata; Cladistia; Polypteriformes; Polypteridae
Exons: 3
Source: RefSeq, a predicted model, not a curated record